Caenorhabditis elegans is the source of this 91-nucleotide non-coding RNA. NCBI's taxonomy places the organism in Eukaryota, Metazoa, Nematoda, Chromadorea, Rhabditida, Rhabditidae. The record is from Ensembl.
AGAACUGAAUAAGAAUACAACCAGGAAGUAAAAAACGCCGGCGACGGCCCUGUAGUGCAGAAAUAACACGGUUCGAUUCGACCUCGAGAAA